Lathyrus oleraceus (garden pea) is the source of this 420-nucleotide long non-coding RNA. RefSeq lists it as uncharacterized. The record is from RefSeq and is a predicted model, not a curated record. The transcript is spliced from 3 exons. NCBI's taxonomy places the organism in Eukaryota, Viridiplantae, Streptophyta, Magnoliopsida, Fabales, Fabaceae.
CUUACUCAUAUGACAUUCUUGAUCAAUUAGGCAUAUGAGGAUAACCCGUUAAUUUAUCCUGAAAUCCUUGACAAACUUUUGAAAAAGAAAUUUUCAUUCCGUGUCAAAUAUCAGACUAUGUACCAACAAUGCUCGAUUGUAAUACUUAAUGAUGAUUUCUUAAACCCCAAUGAGCAAACAUCAAAGGCUCCACAUAAAGUGCAUGUUGCCACCAUUCCAUUUGAUCAAAAUAACCAAACUAUGCUGAGCCAAUCCACCGAUUUAACUAUCUCUACACAACCAACCAUGUCAAACAAGCAAAAUUGGAGCCUUGAAUGUAGUUCAACUAAUACACCAGCGAAAAGAUAUGCUCCUACCAUUAACCUAAUGAUCUUCCUGCAAAUGCAUUUAUAACACCCAAGCAAUCUGCAACCAAAGAAA